Molecule: ribosomal RNA, 1185 nt
Filed under: uncultured Glaciecola sp.
Lineage: Bacteria; Pseudomonadati; Pseudomonadota; Gammaproteobacteria; Alteromonadales; Alteromonadaceae
Description: bacterial SSU rRNA
Rfam family: Bacterial small subunit ribosomal RNA
Source: RNAcentral
CCGGCCCAGAAAUUCGAUUGAGUUUGUUCGGCUCAGAUGAACGCUGGCGGCAGGCCUAACACAUGCAAGUCGAACGGUAACAGAACUAGCUUGCUAGUUGCUGACGAGUGGCGGACGGGUGAGUAAUACUUANGGAUCUGCCUCUGUGUGGGGGAUAACUAUUGGAAACGAUAGCUAAUACCGCAUAACGUCUACGGACCAAAGAGGGCUUCGGCUCUCGCGGCAGAGAGGAACCUAAGCGAAGAUUAGCUUGUUGGUGAGGUAAAGGCUCACCAAGGCGACGAUCUCUAGCUGUUCUGAGAGGAAGAUCAGCCACACUGGAACUGAGACACGGUCCAGACUCCUACGGGAGGCAGCAGUGGGGAAUAUUGCACAAUGGGGGCAACCCUGAUGCAGCCAUGCCGCGUGUGUGAAGAAGGCCUUCGGGUUGUAAAGCACUUUCAGUUGUGAGGAAAGGUUAGUAGUUAAUACCUGCUAGCUGUGACGUUAACAACAGAAGAAGCACCGGCUAACUCCGUGCCAGCAGCCGCGGUAAUACGGAGGGUGCGAGCGUUAAUUCGGAAUUACUGGGCGUAAAGCGCACGCAGGCGGUCUGUUAAGCUAGAUGUGAAAGCCCCGCGCUAAUCGUGGGAGGGUCAUUUAGAACUGGCAGACUAGAGUCUUGGAGAGGGGAGUGGAAUUCCAGGUGUAGCGGUGAAAUGCGUAGAGAUCUGGAGGAACAUCAAUGGCGAAGGCAACUCCCUGGCCAAAGACUGACGCUCAUGUGCGAAAGUGUGGGUAGCGAACAGGAUUAGAUACCCUGGUAGUCCACACCGUAAACGCUGUCUACUAGCUGUUUGUGGAUUUAAUCCGUGAGUAGCGAAGCUAACGCGAUAAGUAGACCGCCUGGGGAGUACGGCCGCAAGGUUAAAACUCAAAUGAAUUGACGGGGGCCCGCACAAGCGGUGGAGCAUGUGGUUUAAUUCGAUGCAACGCGAAGAACCUUACCUACUCUUGACAUACUAGAAACUUUUCAGAGAUGAAUUGGUGCCUUCGGGAAUCUAGAUACAGGUGCUGCAUGGCUGUCGUCAGCUCGUGUCGUGAGAUGUUGGGUUAAGUCCCGCAACGAGCGCAACCCUUGUCCUUAGUUACCAGCAUUAAGUUGGGUACUUUAAGGAGACUGCCGGUGACAAACCGGAGGAAGAR